Molecule: ribosomal RNA, 385 nt
Filed under: uncultured eukaryote
Lineage: Eukaryota
Description: partial 18S ribosomal RNA
Rfam family: Eukaryotic small subunit ribosomal RNA
Source: RNAcentral
CAAUAGCGUAUAUUAAAGUUGUUGCAGUUAAAAAGCUCGUAGUUGGAUUUCUGGUAUAAUGCGCCUGGCCCGCUCCGUUUCGGAGUGAGUGCCGGUGCGCGUUUGCCAUCCUUCUAGAAAACGUUUCUACCCUUCGCUGGGCCGGAUUCGCGAUCUAGAUCUUUUACUUUGAAAAAAUUAGAGUGUUUAAAGCAGGCUUUUGCUAUGAAUACAUUAGCAUGGAAUAAUAAUCUAGGACUUCGGUUCUAUUUUGUUGGUUUCUAGUACUGAAGUAAUGAUUGAUAGGGAUAGUUGGGGGUGCUAGUAUUGACCGGCCAGAGGUGAAAUUCUUGGAUUCGGUCAAGACUAACUUAUGCGAAAGCAUUCACCAAGGAUGUCUUCUUUA